GCAUAAUCAUUUGCCCCUUAAUUAGGGGCUAGUAUGAAUGAGUUAACGAGAUUCUUACUGUCUCAAGUAUAAAAAUAAAAACUAGCCUUUAGGUGAAGAGACCUAAAUCAAUUUAAAAGACAAGAAGACCCUGUCGAGCUUUAAUAUCUUAAAGAAUAAAAAUAAUUACCCUUUAUAAAUAUUUUUGUUGGGGCGACAAAGGAAUAUAUAAAACUUCCUAAAAAAAAAGAUUUCAAAUCAAUUACCAGACCCAUAUUAUAUGAUCAAAGAAUAAAGCUACCGCAGGGAUAACAGACUUAUUCUCCUUAAGAGCUCAAAUUUACAGGAGAGA
Molecule: ribosomal RNA, 331 nt
Filed under: Hyalinoecia tubicola
Lineage: Eukaryota; Metazoa; Annelida; Polychaeta; Eunicida; Onuphidae
Description: partial 16S ribosomal RNA
Rfam family: Archaeal large subunit ribosomal RNA
Source: RNAcentral